UCUUUUUCUUUUUUUUUAACUAGACUGUGUUGGCUUUAGGCAGGGCUCAAACACACAGUUUCAUGAUAGCCAAUAUCAUGCCUUUUUUGGUUAAUAUGCUACUUCUGGGCUCCUGAAGGAUUUUACACUUGGGGCUUCUAACCACAUGCUUAGAUAUUCUAUCAUCUUGGUUGAAAAAAAUGAAUUAAUAAUUAAGGUAGAACAUGGCUUUCUAGCCUUUGCUCAUGAGACUGACUUUUGGUCAACUCUCCUCUGAGAGGGUCACCUUUCUGUUUAUAUAUGAGUGUACACAGCUGAGAAUAUGUACCAUUCUAUCUAGAGGCUUUGAUGGAGCAGCUAUUUUGUGCUGAAUAAACAUGAUAUGAAAACAUCUUUAAUGGCUUUGUCCUAACACAGCCUUUCUUUUCCUUCUAAAUAUCAUGCUUUCCAAGUGCUGUAUCUGGAAAAGCACACUACUCUAUUUUUCAAUGCCUUGAAGGUUUACUGCCUCUUCAAAACAGAGCAUUGUGUGUUCCUGCCAUUGCUCAUGGAGAAGAAGAAUUUUUUGUCUGGAUGUCAAGAAAAUGAACAGGUUUCUGCACUCUAUUCAGACUUGAGGACUUUGGGGCAUACAGAGUGCCAUCUACAUGUCUAGCAAAAUGCAAUGAUAGAGACUGCCUUCAGCAGCCCGCUCCUUAAAACGUAUCCACCCAUCUCGUAGCCCUUCUAGUCUCACAGCAGUCAGGAGAAUAUUCUCAUGUUGCAAGUUUGGGCUGAAAUUUUCCCCCAAAUUUGUACCCUUCAGUAAUUUCCAGUUGCUCUUUGGAUUAAGUCUAUAACUGACACCACAGAGGCGUGCAGGACCUACUACUUGACAGCUUCAUUCUCCACUGUUCUCUUGCUGGGUCUCUCUCCGGUCUCAUCAGCCAUCCUUCAGAACCUCACAUUCACCAUAACCGUCUGGUAACAGGGCCUCGCAAACAUGCUCUCCUUUGCCUGGAAGAUUCCCUCUCAUUCUGCCUGGGCAAGUCUUACUUAUCCUUCAGAUCUCAGCUCAAGGGACACUUCUCCAGGGAUGAUGUCCUCCUCUUCCUGGGCAUUACGCAACACUAUUAGACCUUGUCUUCAUAUGCCCUCACCACUAGAGCAUUUGUCACUGUUUAUAGUAACUUGAUUAAUUAGUCUUGCAUCUAGGGGGGAACCAAAUGUAUGUUCACCACCGGUGAACCCAUUGUCUAGCCAAUAUCUGACAUGGAAUAGAGAUGUUCUUUAGGCAUUUGUUUGUAAUUUUUGAAUAAAUAAUUUUUCUUGCAAAGAGACUGACUCCUCAGUUUGCUCCUAAAAUUUCCAGGUAAGUGACAUUCCCAUGUAUCAACAAUAGGAUCCAGAGCAGCCUUUCAUGCAUAUCUUUGAAAUCGCCCAUUUAUUUGCCUCCUGUUUGCUUUUCCUGCUAACUGUGCUUUUGCAGAUACUUGGGAAGAUAAAGGCUUUGGCCAUCCCGGCCCAUCUUUUCUCCCAGCUCCAUCUGCCAGGGAAGAAACAGUGACUCAGAAAACUAAUGGGCCAGUCUAACGAUGGUCAUGAUUUCACUGCUGGUGAUUUUUCUAUUAGAUUUAUAAAAUUGAGUCAAAAUGAAGGAAUUGCCUUGGGGCGCAAGUACCAAAAGCAAACAAUGAAUUCAGAAACACAAAUCAGAACGGCGCUAACCAGUGUAUGUUAAAAGCAAGCAGCAAAAGUGAUAAAGGUUGAAAGAAUUAAAAAAUGUGAGACUGAACUUUUUUUUUUUUUUAUGGGAACAUGAUGGUCUAUGAGAAACUCAGGAUGUGCCAUCAGACUAGCACAGUGUUACCACUAGAAUGACCUGGACAAAAAUACUGUCACAGAGGUUGGGCCCAGAGGAUUCACUGUAGAAUGAGAAGAGGGAUAUGAAACAAUGAUAGAAAUGAAGGAUGACUCCAAGGUUUGUGGCUGAAGUAACCAGGAGACUGGAGUCCUUGUUCAUUGAGCUGGAGAAGAAGCUGGACAUGUGGGUUUUUCUCAAGGGGAACGAAGAGCUGGGCUUUGAGACCUGUAGAGCAUCCCAGAGGAAGUGCUGGCUUUCCUCUGAGUUCAGCGGGGACACAGCUUGUGCUGUGUUGCUCACUGUUUCAUCCCCCGGACCUCCUGAGAGGCCAGCUGAGACUUGAUUCACACGGUUGAUGGGGAGUCUGGGCCGACUGCUCAGCCAGCAAGUGACUAAAGCCAAGUGGGAGGUGGGCAGCUAUGGAUGAGAGUAAAGAGGAUUUUGAAGUUGGAGGACAGGCUCAAUUUAAAGCAGAUGCAAAGGGAAAAAUAGAACCUCGCUGGUUACAACAGAAGAUUUUGGCUCUCAAUGAAAAGACUAUAAAGCGAAAAGCAUAAUAAAGCCAAGCACAUUUACCACCAAAUUUUAUAUACUGAUAGUACCUCACACAAAGCAGACAGUUUCACCUCAUUUAUAAAGAGAUGUCAGAGGAGUAGGCAAUAUUUUUUCAUUCUAUCUCAUAUGAAUA
This is a long non-coding RNA of Leopardus geoffroyi (Geoffroy's cat), 2510 nucleotides long. RefSeq lists it as uncharacterized. The transcript is spliced from 3 exons. NCBI's taxonomy places the organism in Eukaryota, Metazoa, Chordata, Mammalia, Carnivora, Felidae. The record is from RefSeq and is a predicted model, not a curated record.